RNAcentral lists this transfer RNA (71 nucleotides) under Pelobates fuscus (common spadefoot toad). Its description in RNAcentral is "tRNA-Gln". It matches the Rfam family "tRNA". From Rfam's summary of the family: Transfer RNA (tRNA) molecules are approximately 80 nucleotides in length. The record is from RNAcentral. Lineage: Eukaryota; Metazoa; Chordata; Amphibia; Anura; Pelobatidae.
UAGGAGGUUGUAUAAUGGGAGUACAGAGAGUUUUGAUCUCUCGGGUGCAGGUUCAAUUCCUGUUCUUCUAA